CGGCAUCUCUAAUCUAACACCAAGCGAAUCAUCGAGUCUUUGAACGCAAACGGCACCCUUCCAGUCCAUUCCAAAGCGGUGGCCGAGGAUGAAGACAAGGGUAUCUCUGGCUGAGGGCAACGA
This 123-nucleotide ribosomal RNA is filed under the name Cantharellus romagnesianus. RNAcentral's name for it is "partial 5.8S ribosomal RNA". The record is from RNAcentral. Lineage: Eukaryota; Fungi; Basidiomycota; Agaricomycetes; Cantharellales; Hydnaceae.